GAGAGGCUACUGGUAUAAUACUACUGGAUAGUGGACGUACUCGCAGAAUAAGCACCGGCUAACUCUGUGCCAGCAGCCGCGGUAAUACAGAGGGUGCGAGCGUUAAUCGGAUUACUGGGCGUAAAGCGUGCGUAGGCGGCUUUUUAAGUCGGAUGUGAAAUCCUGAGCUUAACUUAGGAAUUGCAUUCGAUACUGGGAGGCUAGAGUAUGGGAGAGGAUGGUAGAAUUCCAGGUGUAGCGGUGAAAUGCGUAGAGAUCUGGAGGAAUACCGAUGGCGAAGGCAGCCAUCUGGCCUAAUACUGACGCUGAGGUACGAAAGCAUGGGGAGCAAACAGGAUUAGAUACCCUGGUAGUCCAUGCCGUAAACGAUGUCUACUAGCCGUUGGGGCCUUUGAGGCUUUAGUGGCGCAGCUAACGCGAUAAGUAGACCGCCUGGGGAGUACGGUCGCAAGACUAAAACUCAAAUGAAUUGACGGGGGCCCGCACAAGCGGUGGAGCAUGUGGUUUAAUUCGAUGCAACGCGAAGAACCUUACCUGGUCUUGACAUACAGAGAACUUUCCAGAGAUGGAUUGGUGCCUUCGGGAACUCUGAUACAGGUGCUGCAUGGCUGUCGUCAGCUCGUGUCGUGAGAUGUUGGGUUAAGUCCCGCAACGAGCGCAACCCUUUUCCUUACUUGCCAUCGGGUCAUGCCGGGAACUUUAAGGAUACUGCCAGUGACAAACUGGAGGAAGGCGGGGACGACGUCAAGUCAUCAUGGCCCUUACGACCAGGGCUACACACGUGCUACAAUGGUCGGUACAAAGGGUUGCUACCUAGCGAUAGGAUGCUAAUCCCAGAAAGCCGAUCGUAGUCCGGAUUGGAGUCUGCAACUCGACUCCAUGAAGUCGGAAUCGCUAGUAAUCGCGGAUCAGAAUGCCGCGGUGAAUACGUUCCCGGGCCUUGUACACACCGCCCGUCACACCAUGGGAGUUUGUUGCACCAGAAGUAGGUAGUCUAACCGCAAGGAGGACGCUACCACGGGUCCG
Molecule: ribosomal RNA, 1026 nt
Filed under: Zoogloea resiniphila
Lineage: Bacteria; Pseudomonadati; Pseudomonadota; Betaproteobacteria; Rhodocyclales; Zoogloeaceae
Description: bacterial SSU rRNA
Rfam family: Bacterial small subunit ribosomal RNA
Source: RNAcentral